CAGCCGCCGCGGUAAUACCGGCGGCCCGAGUGGUGGCCGCUAUUAUUGGGCCUAAAGCGUCCGUAGCCGGGCCCGUAAGUCCCUGGCGAAAUCCCACGGCUCAACCGUGGGGCUUGCUGGGGAUACUGCGGGCCUUGGGACCGGGAGAGGCGAGGGGUACCCCUGGGGUAGGGGUGAAAUCCUAUAAUCCCAGGGGGACCGCCAGUGGCGAAGGCGCCCCGCUGGAACGGGUCCGACGGUGAGGGACGAAGGCCAGGGGAGCAAACCGGAUUAGAUACCCGGGUAGUCCUGGCUGUAAACGAUGCGGACUUUGUGUCGGACAAGCUAUGAGCUUGUCCGGUGCCGGAGGGAAACCGUUAAGUCCGCCGCCUGGGGAGUACGGCCGCAAGGCUGAAACUUAAAGGAAUUGGCGGG
This 414-nucleotide ribosomal RNA is filed under the name uncultured microorganism. RNAcentral's name for it is "bacterial SSU rRNA". It matches the Rfam family "Archaeal small subunit ribosomal RNA", at positions 459 to 872 of the family's 1478-position model. The record is from RNAcentral.